Molecule: ribosomal RNA, 253 nt
Filed under: uncultured bacterium
Lineage: Bacteria
Description: partial 16S ribosomal RNA
Rfam family: Bacterial small subunit ribosomal RNA
Source: RNAcentral
UACGUAGGGUGCGAGCGUUAAUCGGAAUUACUGGGCGUAAAGCGUGCGCAGGCGGUUUUGUAAGCCAGAUGUGAAAUCCCCGGGCUCAACCUGGGAAUGGCAUUUGGGACUGCAAGGCUGGAGUGCGGCAGAGGAGACUGGAAUUCCUGGUGUAGCAGUGAAAUGCGUAGAUAUCAGGAGGAACACCGGUGGCGAAGGCGGAUCUCUGGGCCAUUACUGACGCUGAGGAGCGAAAGCGUGGGGAGCGAACAGG